Molecule: long non-coding RNA, 222 nt
Filed under: Setaria italica (foxtail millet)
Lineage: Eukaryota; Viridiplantae; Streptophyta; Magnoliopsida; Poales; Poaceae
Description: long non-coding RNA (SITA_LNC004466)
Source: RNAcentral
GCCAUGCUACAACAGAAGGAUUAAAGAAUUCAUAUGUAGGGGCAUCUUUUCCUGAGAAGAAGUUGGCCGGUAAGAUCCCUGGUUUAAUUAACUCAUCUGUUAGAUCUUCAUCGAAUCGGCCGGUGGUUGAGUCAAAACAAGGAGGGAGUUCGAAGAUUGAGUCAUCUCUCCGAUAAGGGAACCGGAUGGUUACAUCUUCAUUGAAGCCGUGGUAGAAGCACC